RNAcentral lists this long non-coding RNA (509 nucleotides) under Triticum aestivum (bread wheat). Its description in RNAcentral is "long non-coding RNA (TAES_LNC015194)". Lineage: Eukaryota; Viridiplantae; Streptophyta; Magnoliopsida; Poales; Poaceae. The record is from RNAcentral.
UCGGACGCGCACAAGGCGGCGGUCAUCGGCGACACCAUCGGCGACCCGCUCAAGGACACCUCCGGCCCGUCGCUCAACAUCCUCAUCAAGCUCAUGGCCGUCGAGGCGCUCGUCUUCGCGCCAUUCUUCGCCGCGCACGGCGGCCUCAUCUUCAAGCACCUCUGAGUUUGAAUUCCGAGUUCGCUCGGCUUGCUGCCUGGACCUGGAUGGCCAAGCAGAAGGCUUUCGUUGCCAAUAAUAACCUCUAGACUGGGAGAAUUGUAUGAGGUGAUGAAUGGUUAAUGGUUACUUUAGUUUCGGACUUUAUUCGAGUGCAAACCCGCCUUAGAAAUAAGCUCGUGGUGUAGCAAAUAGUCACUCUUAAGGCAUGACUUCUAAAUGCAGCAUGGAUGCUCGUCUCCGGGCCUUCAGCAGAGUGCCAUCACCGUGAGGCUGUGUUUGGCGCCGGUGGAUUAUCUUAAUCUUGCUUGUUUAAUCUCUCUGAUUUACUUCCUCCGUCCCAUAAUAUA